Molecule: small nuclear RNA, 187 nt
Organism: Brassica napus (rape)
Lineage: Eukaryota; Viridiplantae; Streptophyta; Magnoliopsida; Brassicales; Brassicaceae
Product: U2 spliceosomal RNA
Exons: 1
Source: RefSeq, a predicted model, not a curated record
AUACCUUUCUCGGCCUUUUGGCUAAGAUAUUCAAGUGUAGUAUCUAUUCUUAUCAGUUUAAUAUCUGAUAUGUGGGCCAUCAACCUGCUCGAUAUUUUAAGGGAGGAACCCUAACAAUAUAGCCUGCUAUAUGGGUUUCUAUGUGUCGCUCAUGCUUUGCACUACUGCAAGGGCUGGCUCAACCCAC